This 107-nucleotide small nuclear RNA is filed under the name Colobus angolensis palliatus. Lineage: Eukaryota; Metazoa; Chordata; Mammalia; Primates; Cercopithecidae. The record is from RNAcentral.
GUGCUCGCUUCGGCAGCACAUAUACUAAAAUUGUAAUGAUUCAGAGAAGAUUAGCAUGGCCCCUGCACAAGGAUGACAUGCAAAUUCGUGAAGCAUUCCAUAUUUUU